AUCAAUUGAUACUCCCCUAGUAGCGGCGAGCGAACGGGGACCAGCCGAGCCUUGAGAGUGAAUUGAAUGGUCUGGAAAGGCCAACCAUAGUGGGUGACAGUCCCGUAAGUGAAGCUCAAUAGGACGUAUUAAGUAGGGCGGAACACGUGAAAUUCUGUCUGAAGAUCGGAGGACCACCUUCGAAGGCUAAGUACUCCUUACUGACCGAUAGUGAACCAGUACCGUGAGGGAAAGGUGAAAAGCACCCCGAUUAGGGGAGUGAAACAGUACCUGAAACCGAAUGCUUACAAGCAGUUGGAGCUCCAUAGGGAGUGACAGCGUACCUCUUGCAUAAUGGGUCAGUGACUUAAUCUACCAUGCAAGCUUAAGCCGUUAGGUGUAGGCGCAGCGAAAG
RNAcentral lists this ribosomal RNA (394 nucleotides) under Pteridomonas danica. Its description in RNAcentral is "partial Bacterial large subunit ribosomal RNA". It matches the Rfam family "Bacterial large subunit ribosomal RNA", at positions 224 to 677 of the family's 2925-position model. Lineage: Eukaryota; Dictyochophyceae; Pedinellales. The record is from RNAcentral.